Molecule: long non-coding RNA, 918 nt
Organism: Carassius auratus (goldfish)
Lineage: Eukaryota; Metazoa; Chordata; Actinopteri; Cypriniformes; Cyprinidae
Exons: 2
Source: RefSeq, a predicted model, not a curated record
GACACUGAGAUGUUUGGAGGGGGGAGGUUGUGGGCAGUCUAGUGAAGAAGUGAAAGUGAAAAUGUUCCUCAGAUUUCUGAGGAGGAAGUCAGUAGGCAUAAAUACGCGAACGCUCUGACAAACUCGCACAAGCCAGGGAGCAGAGAGAGGGAGAGAGCACGAAAAGAGGAGGAAUGACGGGAGCAGGGAACAGGUUUUUCAAGACACAAGUCUUCAGAUGAAACGAGAUAAAUAAACAAGUUUGAUUCUUUCGCAGAGGCACCAAACUUGUUUGUGGUAAAAGCUGUUUGAAUGUUAUUUCUUUUUCCUUAUUUAAUAAAGGUACACUUGAUAAAUGUAAGCAGCUUGAAAUUUCCAUACGAAAAAAAAAAAGUUAAAUGAUGAAGUAUUGGCAGAUGUGUUUGUUCACAGAGUGUAAAUGAAAAUGGCCACAGCAGUUUGGAAGUUAACGGAACCCAUAAUGCAGCUGUUUGCUUGAUUGACAGCUGGCUAUGGAUUCCGUGCCCUUCCUCUCUUGCAGGAGCUUGAAGAUGAAAAUUGUGUGUGCUGGAGGAAUUCAGGAGUUGGCCUCAUUCAGAUAUGAUAUUAUAUGUGAAUUUUACAUCAGUAUAACUUGAAAUGUAUUUGAAUAUAUAUACAAGGUUAUGGUUGGGUCAGAAAUGUGUAUGUGUGUAUGUGUGUACAGCAUAUGAGGUCUGAUGUUGCUCUGGAAUGACACGUUUUCUCCCGGAUUGCCAGAAAUAUGUUUAGCCACCGGGAACUUCGUGUCAGCCCAGAUAAGCAUCACUUCCUGACAAGAUCUUCAGAAUCCUCAGUGUUCAGUAAUCAGUAAAUCUCAUAAUCUCUUACUAAAAUGCUUCAUCAGACAUUUGAGUGUUGUCUCUGGAAUUCUCCAAUAAAUUAAGAACAUUUGCCAUG